Elaeis guineensis (African oil palm) is the source of this 1142-nucleotide non-coding RNA. The record is from RefSeq and is a predicted model, not a curated record. NCBI's taxonomy places the organism in Eukaryota, Viridiplantae, Streptophyta, Magnoliopsida, Arecales, Arecaceae.
UGAGUGGUACAUCUAGUACAUUUUGCGAGCAAAGUGGUAGCGUCAUUUAAUUAAUUCAAGUCUCUUUCCUUCAUCUUGACUGAUAAGGUUGUAUCCCACUUCCCCACCCCACCAUGAGGAAUCCCUAUUGGCAACCAGUGACUAGCAUCCUUCUCGACUGGCAACUAGGGACCGGCAUCCAUCCCAAUUGGCAUUCGACGGCAAGCAUCCUUCCCGACCAUUGUUCGACAACGAGGGUUCUUCCUGGCUUCUCAGCUGGCUUCCGAUGACAAGGGUCCUUCCUGAUCGGCAUCUGGCAACGAGUGUCCUUCUCAACCGGUGCUAAAAUGAAGGAUGAUUGGAGCAUUGGAGAUUGUCAUAUGAUAUUAUUGAAUUAAAUUGAACUAUUCUACUUCAUACUUUAUGAAACUUUUCUAAAGAUAUUUGAGUUUAUGGGAUGUGUUUAAGGUUUAUCUUUGGAUGAGAUUAGCUAUAGUGGAUGGUGGUUAUAUUUUUAAUACUAUUUAUGUAUUUAAAAUCCUUGCUCGUAUAUCAUUUAUCUUAUGGGGAUUAUGUUACUUAUUUGAAUCAUUUAUCAUUUAAAUUCUUGCUCUUUUAAUAUUGGACUUCAUAGAUCUAAAAUAAUGUUAUGGUUUUGGUUAUGAUGAAGUCAAAAUAUAGGAGCUCUAGUGAGAAAGUAAGUAUAUAUUUAUUAAUUUUUUGAAUAAUUAUUGUUUAGGAAUAUUGAUGCAUGUUAAUUAACUUUCUUAUUUUCUCAUAUUUAUAUUCAGGCAGUCUUAUUACGAGUAUGGAUGAGCAUACAUGUUAACUAGAGAGGGUGUUGGUGAUCAUUUAAAUUCUUAAUAUGAGCAGCAUCUCGAACUCCUGGAGCUGAGUUCCACCAGGUUUUGAUGAGGUCAUCAAAGCCAGCUGUUGACAUCCAAAUGGUCUCAAAUCUGAAGGGCGUCUUGAGGUUGGCUUAUGUCUGAAUUUAAGAAGUGGACAAUGACCGCACAUUGUUUUUGUAAGGGGAAGUGACAGUGGACUUUGGAAGAUAUCCAACCAAUCAAGUGAGGCCAAACAUCUGUGUAGUUUGCUGAGCGAGGAUGUGUCUCCAUAGUUUGACCAUGUAAAUUGCUGUUGACUAAGCUUUAUUUCGAUUA